CUUGCCCUUAAGACCGGGAUAACCAUUGGAAACGAUGGAUAAUACCAGAUAGGAUGUUUUAACACAUGUUUUAACAUUUAAAGAUGCUCCAAAGGCAUCACUUAAGGAGAGGCCUAUAUCGCAUUAGCUAGUUGGUGAGGUAACGGCUCACCAAGGCGACGAUGCGUAACUGUGCUGAGAGGCAAAACAGUCACAUUGGAACUUAGACACGGUCCAAACUCCUACGGGAGGCAGCAGUAGGGAAUUUUCGGCAAUGGGGGAAACCCUGACCGAGCAAUGCCGCGUGAAUGAAGAAGAUCUUCGGAUUGUAAAAUUCUGUUAUUGGGGAAGAACUAUGUAGAUAGGAAAUGAUCUACAUUUGACGGUACCUGAUGAGUAAGCCCCGGCUAACUAUGUGCCAGCAGCCGCGGUAAUACAUAGGGGGCAAGCGUUAUCCGGAAUUAUUGGGCGUAAAGCGUGCGUAGGUGGUUUAUUAAGUCUGUUGUAAAAGCCCACAGCUUAACUGUGGUAGGUCAUCGGAAACUGGUAGACUAGAGUACGGUAGAGGUAAGUGGAAUUCCAAGUGGAGCGGUGGAAUGCGUAGAGAUUUGGAGGAACACCAGUGGCGAAGGCGGCUUACUGGGCCGGAACUGACACUGAGGCACGAAAGCGUGGGGAGCAAACAGGAUUAGAUACCCUGGUAGUCCACGCCGUAAACGUUGAGCACUA
Molecule: ribosomal RNA, 708 nt
Filed under: uncultured bacterium
Lineage: Bacteria
Description: bacterial SSU rRNA
Rfam family: Bacterial small subunit ribosomal RNA
Source: RNAcentral